CCGCGGCCCCGGGGCGCAGCGCGCACGCAAUCGCGUUUCCGGAGAGACCUGGCUGCUGUGUCCCGCGGCUUGCGCUCCGUAGUGGACUCCGCGGGCCUUCGGCAGAUGCAGGCCUGGGGUAGUCUCCUUUCUGGACUGAGAAGAGAAGAAUGGAGAAGCCCCUCUUCCCAUUAGUGCCUUUGCAUUGGUUUGGCUUUGGCUACACAGCACUGGUUGUUUCUGGUGGGAUCGUUGGCUAUGUAAAAACAGGCAGCGUGCCGUCCCUGGCUGCAGGGCUGCUCUUCGGCAGUCUAGCCGGCCUGGGUGCUUACCAGCUGUAUCAGGAUCCAAGGAACGUUUGGGGUUUCCUAGGAAUCUAGAAAACUGUAUCUGAAGUUGUUCCUACCUGAAGCCGUUGCAUUGAGAGGUGCUAAGUGGAUCCUCUGGCCAGCUGACUGCACUUCUUUUUUGAGAAAGGAAGGAAUAUAUCCUGACUGAUUCAGCCCUAGCAAACCAAGAGUGAGCCACCUUGGAAGUAGAUCCUGCAGUCCCAGUCAAGCCUUCGGAUGACUGAAACUUCGGCCAAUUAUCUGACUGCCAUCAGAGAACCCAAGCCAGAACUACCCAGCUAAGCUACUUCUAAAUUCCUGACCCACAGAAACUAUGUGAAUUAAUAAAUGUUUCUUCUUAUUUUAAAUC
RNAcentral lists this long non-coding RNA (678 nucleotides) under Homo sapiens (human). RNAcentral describes it as "HSALNT0101266". The record is from RNAcentral. Lineage: Eukaryota; Metazoa; Chordata; Mammalia; Primates; Hominidae.